GGACGAACGCUGGCGGCGUGCUUAACACAUGCAAGUCGAACGGAAAGGCCCUUCGGGGUACUCGAGUGGCGAACGGGUGAGUAACUCGUGGGUGAUCUGCCCUGCACUUUGGGAUAAGCCUGGGAAACUGGGUCUAAUACCGAAUAGGACCACGCGCUUCAUGGUGUGUGGUGGAAAGCUUUUGCGGUGUGGGAUGGGCCCGCGGCCUAUCAGCUUGUUGGUGGGGUAAUGGCCUACCAAGGCGACGACGGGUAGCCGGCCUGAGAGGGUGACCGGCCACACUGGGACUGAGAUACGGCCCAGACUCCUACGGGAGGCAGCAGUGGGGAAUAUUGCACAAUGGGCGCAAGCCUGAUGCAGCGACGCCGCGUGAGGGAUGACGGCCUUCGGGUUGUAAACCUCUUUCAAUAGGGACGAAGCGCAAGUGACGGUACCUAUAGAAGAAGCACCGGCCAACUACGUG
Molecule: ribosomal RNA, 463 nt
Filed under: uncultured bacterium
Lineage: Bacteria
Description: partial 16S ribosomal RNA
Rfam family: Bacterial small subunit ribosomal RNA
Source: RNAcentral